UACAGAGGUCCCAAGCGUUGUUCGGAUUCACUGGGCGUAAAGGGUGCGUAGGUGGCCAGGUAAGUUUGGUGUGAAAGCUCGGAGCUUAACUCCGAAAAGUCAUUGAAUACUAUCUGGCUGGAGGGUCGGAGGGAGACUGGAAUUCUCGGUGUAGCAGUGAAAUGCGUAGAUAUCGAGAGGAACACCAGUGGCGAAGGCGAGUCUCUGGACGACUCCUGACACUGAGGCACGAAGGCCAGGGAGCAAACGG
RNAcentral lists this ribosomal RNA (250 nucleotides) under uncultured bacterium. RNAcentral's name for it is "partial 16S ribosomal RNA". It matches the Rfam family "Bacterial small subunit ribosomal RNA", at positions 524 to 775 of the family's 1533-position model. The record is from RNAcentral.